RNAcentral lists this non-coding RNA (140 nucleotides) under Anatilimnocola aggregata. The record is from RNAcentral. Lineage: Bacteria; Pseudomonadati; Planctomycetota; Planctomycetia; Pirellulales; Pirellulaceae.
CAGCAGGUGCGAAUCCUGUCCGGCUAAUCGAUCGCUCAGCCGGAAGCAGCCAGAGCGGCGAAGGAGGUAACAAAUUCGUUGAAGUACUCUGCGUAAAGGUCACCUUGGGUGAUCGAGCGAACGCGUAGGCCGAAACGUGA